This 464-nucleotide ribosomal RNA is filed under the name uncultured bacterium. RNAcentral describes it as "partial 16S ribosomal RNA". It matches the Rfam family "Bacterial small subunit ribosomal RNA", at positions 28 to 507 of the family's 1533-position model. The record is from RNAcentral.
GACGAACGCUGGCGGCGUGCUUAACACAUGCAAGUCGAACGAUGAACCGGUUUCGGCCGGGGAUUAGUGGCGAACGGGUGAGUAACACGUGGGCAAUCUGCCCUGCACUCUGGGAUAAGCCCGGGAAACUGGGUCUAAUACCGGAUACGACACUCCGAGGCAUCUUGGGGUGUGGAAAGUUCCGGCGGUGCAGGAUGAGCCCGCGGCCUAUCAGCUUGUUGGUGGGGUAAUGGCCUACCAAGGCGACGACGGGUAGCCGGCCUGAGAGGGUGACCGGCCACACUGGGACUGAGACACGGCCCAGACUCCUACGGGAGGCAGCAGUGGGGAAUAUUGCACAAUGGGCGAAAGCCUGAUGCAGCGACGCCGCGUGAGGGAUGACGGCCUUCGGGUUGCAAACCUCUUUCAGCAGGGAAGAAGCGAAAGUGACGGUACCUGCAGAAGAAGCACCGGCUAACUACGUG